This 77-nucleotide transfer RNA is filed under the name compost metagenome. RNAcentral describes it as "tRNA-Glu". It matches the Rfam family "tRNA". From Rfam's summary of the family: Transfer RNA (tRNA) molecules are approximately 80 nucleotides in length. Their secondary structure includes four short double-helical elements and three loops (D, anti-codon, and T loops). Further hydrogen bonds mediate the characteristic L-shaped molecular structure. tRNAs have two regions of fundamental functional importance: the anti-codon, which is responsible for specific mRNA codon recognition, and the 3' end, to which the tRNAs corresponding amino acid is attached (by aminoacyl-tRNA synthetases). tRNAs cope with the degeneracy of the genetic code in two manners: having more than one tRNA (with a specific anti-codon) for a particular amino acid; and 'wobble' base-pairing, i.e. permitting non-standard base-pairing at the 3rd anti-codon position. The record is from RNAcentral.
GCUCUCGUCGUCUAGGGGUUUUAGGACACUGGCCUUUCACGUCAGUAACGCGGGUUCGAAUCCCGUCGAGAGUACCA